AGCCAACCUCUAGCCCAACCAAACCUCCACAAAGUCCCCACCCCAUACAACUAAAACAUUCCACACACUUAGUAUAGGCGAUAGAAAAGAACCCUCAACCAAGCAGGCGCAAUAGAGACAGUACCGCAAGGGAAAGAUGAAAUAAUAAUGAAAACCCAAGCGCAAAAUAGCAAAGAUCAACCCUUGUACCUUUUGCAUCAUGAUUCAGCAAGAACAACCAAGCAAAACGAACUUAAGCUUGCCACCCCGAAACCCAAGCGAGCUACUUACAAGCAGCUAUACUGAGCGAACCCGUCUCUGUCGCAAAAGAGUGGGAUGACUUGUUAGUAGAGGUGAAAAGCCUAUCGAGCUGGGUGAUAGCUGGUUGCCUGUGAAAUGAAUUUAAGUUCUGCCCUGACAGCUCCUACACUACCCCCCCCCCCCCGACUAAACCAUGCAGUCACUCAGAAGUAAUUUAAAGGGGGUACAGCCCCUUUAAAAAAGAAUCCAACCUCCCCCAGCGGAUAAGCCCCUCCCCCAACCCCAACUGUUGGCCUUCAAGCAGCCACCAACAAAGAGUGCGUCAAAGCUCAUACCACGAAAAUAUUACAACUAUGCGAAUCCCUACAAUCGUAACGGGCCAACCUAUUACACAUAGGAGAAUCUAUGCUGAAAUAAGUAACUAAGGGCUUCCCCCUCUUAAGCGCAAACUUACAUCUCCACAUUAUUACCCAGAACAAGAUACCCCCACCCCCACAAGACAUUAUAUCCCCACACCCUGUUAAACCAACCCAGGAGCGCCCAAUAUGAAAGAUCCAAAUCUGUAGAAGGAACUAGGCAACCCCCCAAGGACCCGACUGUUUACCAAAAACAUAGCCUUCAGCCCACCAAGUAUUGAAGGUGAUGCCUGCCCAGUGACACCAAGUUCAACGGCCGCGGUAUCCUAACCGUGCGAAGGUAGCGCAAUCAAUUGUCUCAUAAAUCGAGACUUGAAUGAACGGCUAAACGAGGCCCUAACUGUCUCCUACAGACAAUCAGUGAAAUUGAUCCCCUCGUGCAAAAGCGAGGAUAAAAACAUAAGACGAGAAGACCCUGUGGAACUUCAAAAUCACGACCACACCCCUCAACCCAUAAACCUAUCAGGCCCACUACCCCCACCCCUGUACUGGCCCGUAUUUUUUGGCUGGGGCGGCCCUGGAGAAAAGCAAAUCCUCCAGAAACAAGACCUAGCCUCUUAACUAAGAGCAACCCCUCAACGUGCUAACAGCCACCAGACCCAGUUCAACUGAACAAUGGACCAAGCUACCCCAGGGAUAACAGCGCAAUCCCCUCCGAGAGCCCAUAUCGACAAGGGGGUUUACGACCUCGAUGUUGGAUCAGGACACCCUAAUGGUGCAGCCGCUAUUAAGGGUUCGUUUGUUCAACGAUUAACAGUCCUACGUGAUCUGAGUUCAGACCGGAGUAAUCCAGGUCGGUUUCUAUCUAUGACAGACUUCCCCCAGUACGAAAGGACCGGGGAGAUAGGGCCCAUGCCACAAGCACGCCCUCCUCUCAAGUAAGGAAUACAACUAAAUUACCUAAAGAGCUUCCAACCCCCAUCCUAAAAAAGGAACG
Molecule: ribosomal RNA, 1593 nt
Filed under: Campephilus imperialis (Imperial woodpecker)
Lineage: Eukaryota; Metazoa; Chordata; Aves; Piciformes; Picidae
Description: 16S ribosomal RNA
Rfam family: Bacterial large subunit ribosomal RNA
Source: RNAcentral